RNAcentral lists this ribosomal RNA (500 nucleotides) under uncultured bacterium. RNAcentral's name for it is "partial 16S ribosomal RNA". It matches the Rfam family "Bacterial small subunit ribosomal RNA", at positions 30 to 523 of the family's 1533-position model. The record is from RNAcentral.
AUUGAACGCUGGCGGAAUGCUUUACACAUGCAAGUCGAACGGCAGCACGGACUUCGGUCUGGUGGCGAGUGGCGAACGGGUGAGUAAUGUAUCGGAACGUGCCCAGUCGUGGGGGAUAACGUAGUGAAAAUUACGCUAAUACCGCAUACGAUCUAUGGAUGAAAGCGGGGGAUCGCAAGACCUCGCGCGAUUGGAGUGGCCGAUAUCAGAUUAGGCAGUUGGUGGGGUAAAGGCCCACCAAGCCAACGAUCUGUAGCUGGUCUGAGAGGACGACCAGCCACACUGGAACUGAGACACGGUCCAGACUGCUACGGGAGGCAGCAGUGGGGAAUUUUGGACAAUAGGCGAAAGCCUGAUCCAGCCAUUCCGCGUGCAGGAUGAAGGCCCUCGGGUUGUAAACUGCUUUUGUACAGAGCGAAAAGGUUUCUACUAAUACUAGGAGCUCAUGACGGUACUGUAAGAAUAAGCACCGGCUAACUACGUGCCAGCCGCCGCCGUAA